Molecule: ribosomal RNA, 253 nt
Filed under: uncultured bacterium
Lineage: Bacteria
Description: partial 16S ribosomal RNA
Rfam family: Bacterial small subunit ribosomal RNA
Source: RNAcentral
UACGGAGGGUGCGAGCGUUGUUCGGAAUCACUGGGCGUAAAGCGCGUGUAGGCGGUCUGCUAAGUCUGAUGUGAAAGCCCGAGGCUCACCCUCGGAAGUGCAUUGGAAACUGACAGACUGGAGUCCCGGAGAGGAGGGUGGAAUUCCUGGUGUAGCGGUGAAAUGCGUAGAUAUCAGGAGGAACACCGGUGGCGAAGGCGGCCCUCUGGACGGUGACUGACGCUGAGACGCGAAAGCGUGGGGAGCAAACAGG